This 253-nucleotide ribosomal RNA is filed under the name uncultured bacterium. RNAcentral's name for it is "partial 16S ribosomal RNA". It matches the Rfam family "Bacterial small subunit ribosomal RNA", at positions 524 to 776 of the family's 1533-position model. The record is from RNAcentral.
UACGAGGGGUGCAAGCGUUGCUCGGAAUUAUUGGGCGUAAAGGGUAGGUAGGUGGUCUCAUUUGUCUUAUGUGAAAGCCUUGGGCUUAACUCAAGAAGUGCGUAAGAAACGGUGAGACUGGAGUCCUGGAGAGGUGAGUGGAAUUCCCGGUGUAGCGGUGAAAUGCGUAGAGAUCGGGAGGAACACCAGAGGCGAAAGCGGCUCACUGGACAGGUACUGACACUCAACUACGAAAGCGUGGGGAGCAAACAGG